RNAcentral lists this ribosomal RNA (684 nucleotides) under uncultured bacterium. Its description in RNAcentral is "bacterial SSU rRNA". It matches the Rfam family "Bacterial small subunit ribosomal RNA", at positions 97 to 796 of the family's 1533-position model. The record is from RNAcentral.
GGCGCACGGGUGAGUAACACGUAAGUAAUCUGCCUUCGAGUGGGGAAUAACCCGGGGAAACCCGAGCUAAUACCGCAUAAUGCAGCGGCACCUGAUGGUGACAGUUGUUAAAGGAGCAAUCCGCUUGAAGAGGAGCUUGCGGCAGAUUAGCUUGUUGGUAAGGUAACGGCUUACCAAGGCUACGAUCUGUAUCCGGUCUAAGAGGACGGUCGGACACACUGACACUGAAUAACGGGUCAGACUCCUACGGGAGGCAGCAGUCGGGAAUUUUGGGCAAUGGGGGAAACCCUGACCCAGCAACGCCGCGUGAAGGAUGAAGUAUUUCGGUAUGUAAACUUCGAAAGAAUAGGAAGAAUUAAUGACGGUACUAUUUAUAAGGUCCGGCUAACUACGUGCCAGCAGCCGCGGUAAUACGUAGGGACCAAGCGUUGUUCGGAUUUACUGGGCGUAAAGGGCGCGUAGGCGGCGCGGUAAGUCACUUGUGAAAUCUCUGAGCUUAACUCAGAACGGCCAAGUGAUACUGCAGUGCUAGAGUGUGGAAGGGGCAAUCGGAAUUCUUGGUGUAGCGGUGAAAUGCGUAGAUAUCAAGAGGAACACCUGAGGUGAAGACGGGUUGCUGGGCCAACACUGACGCUGAUGCGCGAAAGCCAGGGGAGCAAACGGGAUUAGAUACCCCGGUAGUCC